AUCAGGACCACGGCUGAGUGGCAGAGCAUCUGCCUUGCAUGCAGAAGGUCCCGGGUUCGAGUCCUGACAUCUCCUGGUA
This is a non-coding RNA of Podarcis lilfordi (Lilford's wall lizard), 79 nucleotides long. NCBI's taxonomy places the organism in Eukaryota, Metazoa, Chordata, Lepidosauria, Squamata, Lacertidae. The record is from the annotation of a GenBank genome assembly.